UGGCCUAUCGAUCCUUUAGACCU
Molecule: small nuclear RNA, 23 nt
Filed under: Arabidopsis thaliana (thale cress)
Lineage: Eukaryota; Viridiplantae; Streptophyta; Magnoliopsida; Brassicales; Brassicaceae
Description: snRNA_08483
Source: RNAcentral